AAUUUUAUUCUAGUUUUAAGAUUUGUUUUUUAAAUAAUUUACAUGUAAAUUUUUGUGUGAGUGAAAAUUACCUAAAAGGUUAAAAGUUUUAUCGCAGUAUAUAGGAUUAAUUAUUAAAGAAGUUUAGAAUUAAUAAUUUAAUUUAGUGUUGGCUAAAUUCGUGCCAGCUGCCGCGGUUAUACGUGGAACACAAAUAAAUUACUUAAGUGUUAGAAGUUAACUUGUUGUUGUUUUUAGGUGAAAUUUAUUUUGUGUAGGUAGAAUUUAAAUAAAUAAUUAAAUUUAUUUUAUGGAAGUAAUCUUCGAGAUUAUAAUAAUAAACUAGGAUUAGAUACCCUAUUAUAUAUAAUGUGAAUAGUUUUGAGCUGGAGUAGUAAUAGUUAUGAUCUUGAAACUCAAAGAAUUUGGCGGUGUUUUAGUCUCGUCAGAGGAAUUUGUCCUGUAAUUGAUAUUACGCGAUUUAGUUGACUUAGUUUUGUAAUAUUCAGUUUAUAUACCGCCGUCGUAAGAAUAUUUUAGGAGAAUUAUUUUCUUAAUUUUUUUUUUUAUAAAAUAUGUCAGGUCAAGGUGUAGCUAAUAACUAAGUAGAGAUGAAUUACAAUAAGGUAACUUAUAAUGGAUUUUGUUGUGGAAUAAAUAAGUGAAGGUGGAUUUGAAAGUAAUGUUGAUUUAUAAUAUUAACAUGAUUAGGCUCUGAAACAUGUACACAUCGCCCGUCACUCUCGUUAGAAGAUGAGAUAAGUCGUAACAAAGUAGGUGUACUGGAAAGUGUACCUAGAAAGAUUUU
This 787-nucleotide non-coding RNA is filed under the name Phyllomimus sinicus. RNAcentral describes it as "12S ribosomal RNA". The stretch from base 368 to 777 matches the Rfam family "Microsporidia small subunit ribosomal RNA", at positions 751 to 1303 of the family's 1311-position model. The record is from RNAcentral. Lineage: Eukaryota; Metazoa; Arthropoda; Insecta; Orthoptera; Tettigoniidae.